AGGGAGGUUGUAGCUCGUCGGUGGUGCACGAGUCAUUUCAGGAGUUGCUAGCUUUCAGCAUAUACGAGGUACUAGCGAGGACCGUGGGAAGGCGCCGGCAUGAUCGAUACACACUGAAGAUUGUUUUAUGAUCUUGGGAGUUUGAAUAAUUGUAU
Molecule: non-coding RNA, 155 nt
Organism: Lactuca sativa (garden lettuce)
Lineage: Eukaryota; Viridiplantae; Streptophyta; Magnoliopsida; Asterales; Asteraceae
Source: RefSeq, a predicted model, not a curated record